This 227-nucleotide unclassified non-coding RNA is filed under the name Hevea brasiliensis (rubber tree). Lineage: Eukaryota; Viridiplantae; Streptophyta; Magnoliopsida; Malpighiales; Euphorbiaceae. The record is from RNAcentral.
AGAAAUCCACUGAUUCUUUUAAUGUGACCUAAAGACUUAACAAUUAAACAAAUUUUUUUCAGAAUCAAUCCCAAUUCUUAUAGCAACUCGUAUGGAUAUUUUAUCUAAAAAACAUGAGAAAAGGCUUUCCUCGGCAUAGCAGAAAGUUUUUAGUUGAUGUGUAAAUUAUUAAUCAGAGAUAAAUGGAGACAAAAGAUGACUCACGGAAUCCACUCGAGGAAUCUUGU